This 1673-nucleotide ribosomal RNA is filed under the name Thayeria boehlkei. Its description in RNAcentral is "16S ribosomal RNA". The stretch from base 96 to 1592 matches the Rfam family "Bacterial large subunit ribosomal RNA". Lineage: Eukaryota; Metazoa; Chordata; Actinopteri; Characiformes; Characidae. The record is from RNAcentral.
GCUAAACAGCUAGCUUAACUAUAAGAAUUAACAACACAACAUUAAUUUUUUCUUUUUGACUCAACUAUAAAUAACUAAAACAUUUUCCUGCCUUAGUACGGGCGACAGAAAAGGCACUAAAAGCAAUAGAACUAGUACCGCAAGGGAAAGCUGAAAAAGAAAUGAAAUAAACCAUUAAAGCUAAAAAAAGCAGAGACGAACCCUCGUACCUUUUGCAUCAUGAUUUAGCUAGUAAUUUGGAGCGAAGAGAAACUUUAGUUCCUACCCCCGAAACCAAGUGAGCUACCCCGAGACAGCCUUUGUAGGGCCAACCCGUCUCUGUCGCAAAAGAGUGGGAAGAUCUCUGGGUAGCGGUGACAGACCUAUCGAACUUGGUGAUAGCUGGUUGCCUAAGAAAUGGAUAUAAGUUCAGCCUCGUGUUCCCCCACCCAUUCAAGCGCUCACACCUUAUGGGAAAGAGAAAAUCACAAGAGUUAGUCAAAGGGGGUACAGCCCCUUUGAACCAGGACACAACCUGACCAGGAGGUUAAGAUUCACAUUCAACAAGAUACACCGCUUUAGUGGGCCUAAAAGCAGCCACCUACCUAGAAAGCGUUAAAGCUCAAGCAGACCAAAAAUCUAUUAUACUGAUAUUCCACACCUAUACCCCUACCCAUAUUAGGCCUCUCCAUGCCUCCAUGGAAGAGACACUGCUAAAACGAGUAACAAGAAGAUAACCUCUUCUCCACGCCUCAGUGUAAAUUAGAUCGGACCCACCACUAAUAAUUAACGAACCCAACCAAAGAGGGAAAUGUGACCAUAAAACAAAACCAAGAAAAUCCCACAAAAAAAAUCGUUAACCCAACACCGGAGGGCUUCAAGGAAAGAUUAAAAGAAAGGGAAGGAACUCGGCAAAUACAAGCCUCGCCUGUUUACCAAAAACAUCGCCUCCUGCAAAAAUCAAUGUAUAGGAGGUCUUGCCUGCCCAGUGACUUAAGUUAAACGGCCGCGGUAUUUUGACCGUGCAAAGGUAGCGCAAUCACUUGUUUUUUAAAUAAAGACCUGUAUGAACGGUGAGACGAGGGCUUAACUGUCUCCCCUCUCCAAUCAGUGAAACUGAUCUACCCGUGCAGAAGCGGGUAUACAUCUACAAGACGAGAAGACCCUAUGGAGCUUAAGACAUAAAAUCAACUGUGUAAAAAUCCUUGAAAACAGGACUACAACAACAUCAGUAACUGAUUUUAGUCUUCGGUUGGGGCGACCGCGGGGGAAAAAAAAUCCCCCAUGUGGAAUGGAGCUUUCUCCAAAACCACGAGGCACACCUCUAAGUCACAGAACUUCUGACCAAAAGAUCCGGCACAAGCCGACCAACGGACCAAGUUACCCUAGGGAUAACAGCGCAAUCCUCUCCAAGAGUCCCUAUCGCCAAGAGGGUUUACGACCUCGAUGUUGGAUCAGGACAUCCUAAUGGUGCAGCCGCUAUUAAGGGUUCGUUUGUUCAACGAUUAAAGUCCUACGUGAUCUGAGUUCAGACCGGAGCAAUCCAGGUCAGUUUCUAUCUGUAAAGCUGCUUCUCCUAGUACGAAAGGACCGGGGAUGUGAGGCCCCUGCUUACAACACCGCCUUACUUUUAUCUAAUGAAACCAACUCAAUUAAAUAAAGAAAAGCAUAAAUACCCCUAGAGAUAGUUCAGG